GACAGAGGGGGCAAGCGUUGCUCGGAAUUACUGGGCGUAAAGGGCGCGUAGGCGGGAUGGCAAGUCGAUCGUGAAAUCCUUCGGCUCAACCGAAGAACGUCGAUCGAUACUGCUGUUCUUGAGGGUUGCAGAGGAGACUGGAAUUCCCGGUGUAGCGGUGAAAUGUGUAGAGAUCGGGAGGAACACCGGUGGCGAAGGCGGGUCUCUGGGCAAUUCCUGACGCUGAGGCGCGAAAGCGUGGGGAGCAAACGGG
Molecule: ribosomal RNA, 253 nt
Filed under: uncultured bacterium
Lineage: Bacteria
Description: partial 16S ribosomal RNA
Rfam family: Bacterial small subunit ribosomal RNA
Source: RNAcentral